Molecule: long non-coding RNA, 1098 nt
Filed under: Salmo salar (Atlantic salmon)
Lineage: Eukaryota; Metazoa; Chordata; Actinopteri; Salmoniformes; Salmonidae
Description: lncRNA (ENSSSAG00000098802.1, ENSSSAG00020083418.1)
Source: RNAcentral
GGACAGCAGAAAGAGAAACAGAGAGAGAGAGGGGGCUUGGGGUAAUAGAAACAAGUCGAGGAGAGGAAAAUGCCACAAUAUAUAUUAGGCAUUGAUUUUUUUCUCUCUCUCUCCUCAGAGACAUUCGUUUUCAGAGCCACCAUCAGUAUUUCUGCUCCACUGAUUCCGGCUCAGGUCAUUUCAGCGCGUACUGUCCCACAACAGCCCUCUUGGCUCUCUAUAACAUGGGGCAACACACCUCAUAACGUGAUAGGCUAGAUUAGAGACCAAAUGUGUUUGACGCAACCCAUAUUAUCAGCGAAGGAAAUUAGGGAGGCGUUUAGCUGAGAGAAUUGUAAUAAUGGUUCACAAUGGCGUGCACAACAGAGUUUUUGUCUGUAUCCUAUAAGUCCUUUGCCUACAACCUUUUUACACUGAGAAACUAUUAACUAAGAUAAUACUCUUGUACUGCCAAAUAUGACCGUAUUCAAUAUUUGCAAAACAUUAUUUGCAAAAGCAGCAAUUUCUCAAAUGUACACCUCACUAGCCCUAUGUAUAAUUACAUACCCUUUUUAAUAUUGCGUCCGUCCAAGCACUUUCCAUUAAUGUGUUGCUUUUUGUCUUAGUACUGCAAUACUUUACGUCUGUGACAUUAGAAAAUGGGUCAACCACUUUAAUCAGGCAAGCAAUUGUUGUUUUAAAUGUGUCCAUUUCUAUAAUUCUACCCUUUUCUAUUGAAUUGUAUAAAAACCUAGUAGAAAGCAAUUCUAAGCCUACUGGAAGUGCAAAUCAUCCCAAACAUCAUCCAAUUUCCUCUAGUUUCAAGGUUUGUAGGCUAAUAUGGGUACAAGAAAAUAUUGAUUUCAACUAAAACAUAAUGGUCGGCAGGUAGCCUAGUGGUUAGAGCGUUGGACUAGUAUCCGAAAGGUUGCAAGAUCAAAUUCCCGAGCUGACAAGGUAAAAAUCUAUUGUUCUGCCCCUGAACAAGGCAGUUAACCCACUGUUCCUAGACCGUUAUUGAAAAUAAGAAUUUGUUCUUAACUGACUUGCCUAGUUAAAUAAAGGUAAACAUUUUAAACAGGGUGACAUUCAAAAAAGCUAUGAAAAAAUAUAUUAUAU